This 253-nucleotide ribosomal RNA is filed under the name uncultured bacterium. RNAcentral describes it as "partial 16S ribosomal RNA". It matches the Rfam family "Bacterial small subunit ribosomal RNA", at positions 524 to 776 of the family's 1533-position model. The record is from RNAcentral.
UACGAAGGGGGCGAGCGUUGUUCGGAAUUACUGGGCGUAAAGGGCGCGUAGGCGGCCGAUCAAGUCAGAUGUGAAAGUCCUGGGCUUAACCUGGGGACUGCAUUUGAUACUGAUUGGCUUGAAUUCGGGAGAGGAUAGCGGAAUUCCCAGUGUAGAGGUGAAAUGCGUAGAGAUGUGGAGGAACACCGAUGGCGAAGGCAGCCCCCUGGGCCGACACUGACGCUCAGGCACGAAAGCGUGGGGAGCAAACAGG